This 253-nucleotide ribosomal RNA is filed under the name uncultured bacterium. RNAcentral describes it as "partial 16S ribosomal RNA". It matches the Rfam family "Bacterial small subunit ribosomal RNA", at positions 524 to 776 of the family's 1533-position model. The record is from RNAcentral.
UACGAAGGGAGCUAGCGUUGUUCGGAAUUACUGGGCGUAAAGCGCACGUAGGCGGAUUGCUAAGUCAGGGGUGAAAUCCCGGGGCUCAACCUCGGAACUGCCUUUGAUACUGACAAUCUCGAGUCCGAUAGAGGUGGGUGGAAUUCCUAGUGUAGAGGUGAAAUUCGUAGAUAUUAGGAAGAGCACCGGUGGCGAAGGCGGCCCACUGGAUCGGUACUGACGCUGAGGUGCGAAAGCGUGGGGAGCAAACAGG